AUUGAACGCUGGCGGCAGGCUUAACACAUGCAAGUCGAGCGGAGUGAUGGUGCUUGCACUAUCACUUAGCGGCGGACGGGUGAGUAAUGCUUAGGAAUCUGCCCAUUAGUGGGGGACAACAUCUCGAAAGGGAUGCUAAUACCGCAUACGUCCUACGGGAGAAAGCAGGGGAUCACUUGUGACCUUGCGCUAAUAGAUGAGCCUAAGUCGGAUUAGCUAGUUGGUGGGGUAAAGGCCUACCAAGGCGACGAUCUGUAGCGGGUCUGAGAGGAUGAUCCGCCACACUGGGACUGAGACACGGCCCAGACUCGUACGGGAGGCAGCGGUGGGGAAUAUUGGACAAUGGGGGGAACCCUGAUCCAGCCAUGCCGCGUGAGUGAAGAAGGCCUUAUGGUUGUAAAGCACUUUAAGCGAGGAGGAGGCUCUUUUGGUUAAUACCCAAGAUGAGUGGACGUUACUCGCAGAAUAAGCACCGGCUAACUCUGUGCCAGCCGCCGCCGUAA
RNAcentral lists this ribosomal RNA (503 nucleotides) under uncultured bacterium. RNAcentral's name for it is "partial 16S ribosomal RNA". It matches the Rfam family "Bacterial small subunit ribosomal RNA", at positions 30 to 523 of the family's 1533-position model. The record is from RNAcentral.